CAAGGAAUCUUCCGCAAUGGGCGAAAGCCUGACGGAGCAACGCCGCGUGUGGGAUGACGCCUUUCGGGGUGUAAACCACUUUUCUCAGGGAAGAAGUUCUGACGGUACCUGAGGAAUAAGGACCGGCUAACUACGUGCCAGCAGCCGCGGUAAUACGUAGGGUCCGAGCGUUGUCCGGAGUUACUGGGCGUAAAGCGCGCGCAGGCGGCGGUGUAAGCAUGGCGUGAAAGCCCCAGGCUCAACCUGGGAGGGUCGUCGUGGACUGCACCGCUUGAGGGCGGUAGGGGCUGGUGGAAUGCCUGGUGUAGUGGUGAAAUGCGUAGAGAUCAGGCGGAACACCCGUGGCGAAGGCGGCCAGCUGGGCCGUCCCUGACGCUGAGGCGCGAAGGCGUGGGGAGCGAACGG
RNAcentral lists this ribosomal RNA (405 nucleotides) under uncultured bacterium. Its description in RNAcentral is "bacterial SSU rRNA". It matches the Rfam family "Bacterial small subunit ribosomal RNA", at positions 355 to 775 of the family's 1533-position model. The record is from RNAcentral.